CUGCCUCUAGGCCUAACCUUAUAAAAUCACUGGCACUCUGACUGACACUAGUGACGUAAAUUCAUAUUUUGAAAUAAGUUGGUAAUUAAAUAAGGAAAUGGAACCCAUGUAGUGAGGAAGUGAGAAUCCAUGUCAGUGCCCAGAAGUUCUGCAAUUUUUAUUGAGGUGAACUUUAAAAGUCCCAAACGUCUUCCCAGGACCUCCUACUUGCUCAUACUGUAGGACUGUGGAUUACAGCUGUGAGUAAUUCUGGCUGUAACCAUACUUAAGGAGUAAUAUUUAUCAUACAGACAUAUAAGCCUUUGCCUCAAACUAAUGUGUGAAGGUGUCUUUUACUAUGAAAAUAUCCAGGCUCCUCCAGAUAUUUCUGAAGGACAUGUAUCUGUUCCUCCGAGCUAGCUCUGGGCAUUCAACACAUCUCCAUGAGGGGGCAAAGAAGUGAUGCCAAAGCGGCAGUCCCUUUUCUGAAUUCUUGAUUUGCCUUCCCCGACAGCGCUGCUUGGAGAGGAACAGAGAUUAGAGAGAUGGCUGGCUCCUGGGAAUGUGACAAGUGACAGCUUCCAUCAGCAUUUAUCUCUACUUUGCAAAAAUAAGGGAAGUCUGGAAACAGACCCCUGUGGAACCUGCUGGCAGUCAACAGGCCAUCCUGAGCCGGGCCUUCAAAUCCAGAAAUACAUGCAUAUUAUCUGUCAUAACCAGAUAAAGAGGCUGCCAACCUUGAAAGUGACUCGAAUUUGACCUUCCUUCACCGAAACAAGGCUAAUUGUUUAAUGACCAAAAGAUUUAUAUGCAUUGUCUUUAAUCAUUACAUUGAACUCUCAGAUGAAUAUUACUACCAUGUUUAAUGGCUGAAAAAAAACACCAAAGCUGAGAAAGAGUUGGUCAUCUCACACAAGAGCCCACAGCAGGUAAACGGGAGGCCAGGAUCCCAACUUGCCUGCCUGGCUCCAAAACUCAGGCUCUGGCUACCGUGCAAAUGGACCUCUUGCUCUCUGAAGAAGGCUGGGUAAAGUAAGCCUGCUCUCUGCAAGACUGGGCUGUAUUUGUGAAACUGUCUUUCUAGUUAACCUCUGUCCUGAAAUGUUUCUCAGAAAGGAACACCCCAUCAGAGAUUCUUAAGGGUAUGACUGGCUUGCUUCUUCCUGUCAUUUUUCUAAAAUCCAAAGCCAGGAAUAGUAUACAUAUUUGUUUCAAUGCAUCCAUUUCUUCUGUGGUCUUAACUUUCAUUUCACCUCAGGAGAGUCUCCCAAGCAAGCUUUGUGAAACUUCAAGCAAUACUCCCUUUUGCUAAUAAUUCUUAAGAAGCAUCUGGCUCUAAAGGCGGUGGAGCCUUCGAUAGGUGAUUAGAUCAUCAAGGUGAAGCCCUCAUGAGUGGGAUUACUGCCUUGCAAAAAGGACCUGAGAGAGAUCUCUCACCCCUUCUGCCAUGUGAGGACACAGCAAGAAGAUGGCUGUCUAUGAACCAAAAGGACAGAAGAAACCAGGAUAACAGAAGCAACUCAGAAAAAAGAAAGCACUACAAUACAGAAAAAGAGAGAAGAAAAGGAAAUAGAAGCACCAGGCAACAUCACCCCUUUGCAAUUUCACUAUUACUAUGGACAGCAUUGGACUUUUGAAAACAAUAUCCUACCUGAGCCACAUCUUCAGAAUGAAAAGGUCAAAAUAGUUUACAGGUUUAUUAUUGUUGCCUUGGGCCAAAAAUCAAGGAUUAAAUACAGACUCAUUAAUAUUUGUGUAGUGGGAUAAUAUUUGAAAUAUUAACCUAGAAUUUUCCCCCUUAUUCCCUCCUCUACCCCAUCCUUCCUACCGCCACCUAGUACUCUUAGCCCCUUCCUGGGCCCCUGUAGCUAGGACCUUCCUUAUUUAUUGUCUCAGCCAAGAGCCUAGGAAGCCUGCUAAGUCCUUCAGAUUUGCCCACUCAGGCUUGUGCGAGAGAGAGCGAUGGCUUCACAAUGUCUCUUCUUGCCCAGAGGGCCUGAGACAGCUUCAUGGAGUUUUCCGUAUGCCACUGUGGUACCCCAGCUGAACGACAGUCAACACGCUACUGAAAGAGGGCUAGCAGGCCUGAAGACACGAGGUUGGGACCAGAAAGACACAACAGUGACCCACUGAUCACUCAUCAAAGAUCAGGCAGGAAUGCUGACAAUCUUGAUAGGUGUCAGGAUGGAUAAAUGAUGACAACGUAAAAGAGAUGCUCCCAACUCUCACCUCCAGUCUGACUCCUUGGCACAGGUGAGAGGACGAACAGAUGAUUGGAUGGAUCAACAGACAGAAAUUGUUGAAUGAGCCAAAAGGCACCUUUUCCUGAGCUACCUCUGUCAAGCAUCAUUUUUCCUUAUUUGUAUAAUGUUUAUUUUUGCAAUGAAUUACUGCCUUUACUACAGUAAACAUACCAUGGAAUCUCCUUUGUACCAUAUCCUUUUCUGAAUUUGGAAUGUUGAAUUCCUGCAUCUAUAUUUAUGGUCUUUACAUUUCCUAUUUUCACUUAAAUAUAUAAAAGCUCGUUGGUAAAAA
Molecule: long non-coding RNA, 2514 nt
Organism: Felis catus (domestic cat)
Lineage: Eukaryota; Metazoa; Chordata; Mammalia; Carnivora; Felidae
Exons: 4
Source: RefSeq, a predicted model, not a curated record